CGGUUGCUGCGGUUCAUGUCGGAAGCGAUCUAUCCUUCUGACCUUAAUUCUCUCGAAGGGAGCUGUCCCUGUCCGUGGCCGUGGCUGCGGGUAUAUGGCGCCCACCUGGUUAUCCGGGUCUGAGGGGAUAAAACAGUCUUUCACGGUCCUCGCGGCGCCGCC
This 162-nucleotide non-coding RNA is filed under the name Caulobacter sp. Its description in RNAcentral is "6S RNA". It matches the Rfam family "6S / SsrS RNA". Rfam says of the family: E. coli 6S RNA was the first non coding RNA to be sequenced, but its function was unknown until recently. It consists of 184 nucleotides that fold into an extended hairpin structure with a large single-stranded internal bulge. The 6S RNA specifically associates with RNA polymerase holoenzyme containing the sigma70 specificity factor. The record is from RNAcentral. RNAcentral also lists the same sequence under 1 other name. Lineage: Bacteria; Pseudomonadati; Pseudomonadota; Alphaproteobacteria; Caulobacterales; Caulobacteraceae.